Molecule: ribosomal RNA, 1749 nt
Filed under: Shigella sonnei
Lineage: Bacteria; Pseudomonadati; Pseudomonadota; Gammaproteobacteria; Enterobacterales; Enterobacteriaceae
Description: partial 23S ribosomal RNA
Rfam family: Bacterial large subunit ribosomal RNA
Source: RNAcentral
UCCUGACUGACCGAUAGUGAACCAGUACCGUGAGGGAAAGGCGAAAAGAACCCCGGCGAGGGGAGUGAAAAAGAACCUGAAACCGUGUACGUACAAGCAGUGGGAGCACGCUUAGGCGUGUGACUGCGUACCUUUUGUAUAAUGGGUCAGCGACUUAUAUUCUGUAGCAAGGUUAACCGAAUAGGGGAGCCGAAGGGAAACCGAGUCUUAACUGGGCGUUAAGUUGCAGGGUAUAGACCCGAAACCCGGUGAUCUAGCCAUGGGCAGGUUGAAGGUUGGGUAACACUAACUGGAGGACCGAACCGACUAAUGUUGAAAAAUUAGCGGAUGACUUGUGGCUGGGGGUGAAAGGCCAAUCAAACCGGGAGAUAGCUGGUUCUCCCCGAAAGCUAUUUAGGUAGCGCCUCGUGAAUUCAUCUCCGGGGGUAGAGCACUGUUUCGGCAAGGGGGUCAUCCCGACUUACCAACCCGAUGCAAACUGCGAAUACCGGAGAAUGUUAUCACGGGAGACACACGGCGGGUGCUAACGUCCGUCGUGAAGAGGGAAACAACCCAGACCGCCAGCUAAGGUCCCAAAGUCAUGGUUAAGUGGGAAACGAUGUGGGAAGGCCCAGACAGCCAGGAUGUUGGCUUAGAAGCAGCCAUCAUUUAAAGAAAGCGUAAUAGCUCACUGGUCGAGUCGGCCUGCGCGGAAGAUGUAACGGGGCUAAACCAUGCACCGAAGCUGCGGCAGCGACGCUUAUGCGUUGUUGGGUAGGGGAGCGUUCUGUAAGCCUGCGAAGGUGUGCUGUGAGGCAUGCUGGAGGUAUCAGAAGUGCGAAUGCUGACAUAAGUAACGAUAAAGCGGGUGAAAAGCCCGCUCGCCGGAAGACCAAGGGUUCCUGUCCAACGUUAAUCGGGGCAGGGUGAGUCGACCCCUAAGGCGAGGCCGAAAGGCGUAGUCGAUGGGAAACAGGUUAAUAUUCCUGUACUUGGUGUUACUGCGAAGGGGGGACGGAGAAGGCUAUGUUGGCCGGGCGACGGUUGUCCCGGUUUAAGCGUGUAGGCUGGUUUUCCAGGCAAAUCCGGAAAAUCAAGGCUGAGGCGUGAUGACGAGGCACUACGGUGCUGAAGCAACAAAUGCCCUGCUUCCAGGAAAAGCCUCUAAGCAUCAGGUAACAUCAAAUCGUACCCCAAACCGACACAGGUGGUCAGGUAGAGAAUACCAAGGCGCUUGAGAGAACUCGGGUGAAGGAACUAGGCAAAAUGGUGCCGUAACUUCGGGAGAAGGCACGCUGAUAUGUAGGUGAAGUCCCUUGCGGAUGGAGCUGAAAUCAGUCGAAGAUACCAGCUGGCUGCAACUGUUUAUUAAAAACACAGCACUGUGCAAACACGAAAGUGGACGUAUACGGUGUGACGCCUGCCCGGUGCCGGAAGGUUAAUUGAUGGGGUCAGCGCAAGCGAAGCUCUUGAUCGAAGCCCCGGUAAACGGCGGCCGUAACUAUAACGGUCCUAAGGUAGCGAAAUUCCUUGUCGGGUAAGUUCCGACCUGCACGAAUGGCGUAAUGAUGGCCAGGCUGUCUCCACCCGAGACUCAGUGAAAUUGAACUCGCUGUGAAGAUGCAGUGUACCCGCGGCAAGACGGAAAGACCCCGUGAACCUUUACUAUAGCUUGACACUGAACAUUGAGCCUUGAUGUGUAGGAUAGGUGGGAGGCUUUGAAGUGUGGACGCCAGUCUGCAUGGAGCCGGCCUUGAAAUACCACCCUUU